AGUUUGAUCCUGGCUCAGGAUGAACGCUAGCGGCAGGCUUAACACAUGCAAGUCGAGGGGUAUGGUUCUUCGGAACCAGAGACCGGCGCACGGGUGCGUAACGCGUAUGCAAUCUACCUUUUACAGAGGGAUAGCCCAGAGAAAUUUGGAUUAAUACCUCAUAGUAUAAUAGCUCGGCAUCGAGCAAUUAUUAAAGUCACAACGGUAAAAGAUGAGCAUGCGUCCCAUUAGCUAGAUGGUAAGGUAACGGCUUACCAUGGCAACGAUGGGUAGGGGUCCUGAGAGGGAGAUCCCCCACACUGGUACUGAGACACGGACCAGACUCCUACGGGAGGCAGCAGUGAGGAAUAUUGGUCAAUGGGCGCAAGCCUGAACCAGCCAUGCCGCGUGCAGGAUGACGGUCCUAUGGAUUGUAAACUGCUUUUGUACGAGAAGAAACACUCCUUCGUGAAGGAGCUUGACGGUAUCGUAAGAAUAAGGAUCGGCUAACUCCGUGCCAGCAGCCGCGGUAAUACGGAGGAUCCAAGCGUUAUCCGGAAUCAUUGGGUUUAAAGGGUCCGUAGGCGGUUUAGUAAGUCAGUGGUGAAAGCCCAUCGCCCAACGGUGGAACGGCCAUUGAUACUGCUAGACUUGAAUUAUUAGGAAGUAACUAGAAUAUGUAGUGUAGCGGUGAAAUGCUUAGAGAUUACAUGGAAUACCAAUUGCGAAGGCAGGGUACUACUAAUAUAUUGACGCUGAUGGAC
This 743-nucleotide ribosomal RNA is filed under the name uncultured bacterium. RNAcentral describes it as "bacterial SSU rRNA". It matches the Rfam family "Bacterial small subunit ribosomal RNA", at positions 10 to 754 of the family's 1533-position model. The record is from RNAcentral.